GCAUAAGCGCCCGCCUGGGGAGUACGAUCGCAAGAUUAAACUCAAAGGAAUUGGCGGGGCCCCGCACAAGCAGCGGAGCAUGCGGCUUAAUUCGACGCAACGCGAAGAACCUUACCAAGGCUUGACAUAUACAGGAAUACGGCAGAGAUGUCGUAGCCGCAAGGUCUGUAUACAGGUGGUGCAUGGUUGUCGUCAGCUCGUGUCGUGAGAUGUUGGGUUAAGUCCCGCAACGAGCGCAACCCUCGUUCUGUGUUGCCAGCAUUUAGUUGGGGACUCACAGGAGACUGCCGGGGUUAACUCGGAGGAAGGUGGGGAUGACGUCAAAUCAUCAUGCCCCUUAUGUCUUGGGCUGCACGCAUGCUACAAUGGCUGGUACAAACGGCUGCGAUACCGCAAGGUGGAGCGAAUCCGAGAAAGCCAGUCUCAGUUCGGAUUGGGGUCUGCAACUCGACCCCAUGAAGUCGGAGUUGCUAGUAAUCGUAGAUCAGCAACGCUACGGUGAAUACGCUCCCGGGGCUUGUACACACCGCCCGUCACAUCACGAAAGUCGGUAACACCCAAAGUCAGUGGCCCAACCGCAAGGAGGGAGCUGCCAAAGGUGGGAUCGGUGAUUGGGAUGAAGUCGUAACAAGGUAACCGUA
RNAcentral lists this ribosomal RNA (641 nucleotides) under uncultured bacterium. RNAcentral describes it as "bacterial SSU rRNA". It matches the Rfam family "Bacterial small subunit ribosomal RNA", at positions 857 to 1504 of the family's 1533-position model. The record is from RNAcentral.